This 500-nucleotide ribosomal RNA is filed under the name uncultured bacterium. RNAcentral describes it as "bacterial SSU rRNA". It matches the Rfam family "Bacterial small subunit ribosomal RNA", at positions 28 to 531 of the family's 1533-position model. The record is from RNAcentral.
GACGAACGCUGGCGGCGUGCCUAACACAUGCAAGUCGAGCGGGGUUGAAGCGAGGGGUAACUCGAACUUCUACCUAGCGGCGGACGGGUGAGUAACGCGUGGGCAACCUGCCUCAAGGUCUGGGAUAACAGCUCGAAAGGGCUGCUAAUACCGGAUAUGCCUAUAGCCUCGCAUGGGGCUAUGAGCAAAGGGGAAACCCGCCUUGAGAUGGGCCCGCGUCCCAUCAGCUAGUUGGUAAGGUAAUGGCUUACCAAGGCGAUGACGGGUAGGGGACCUGAGAGGGUGGCCCCCCACAAUGGAACUGAAACACGGUCCAUACACCUACGGGUGGCAGCAGUAGGGAAUAUUGCAAAUGGGCAAAGCCUGAUGUAGCAACGCCGCGUGUGCGAUGAAGGUCUUCGGAUUGUAAAGCAACUUUUUGGAGGGAUGAGGAAGGACAGUACCUCCAGAAUAAGCCUCGGCUAACUACGUGCCAGCACGCCGCGGUAAGCUAGUCUACG